AUUUUGCCUUUUGAAAUGGAAGUCAGUAAAGUAUGAAUUUAAAGUAAAAAAGAAAAAUUAAUGAUCAACUAAAUUUAAAAAAUUCUCUAAAGGUAAUUUGAUUGUUAACCUGACAAGUGGGGUCUAAAUGAAAAAAAGGAUGUGUAAAAAUUAAAUGAUAUAUUAAAAACUUGUAUCACAUGGGUCAAGAAAUUCUAUAAAAUAUAAGGUGUUUCUUUGGUCUAAAAAACUGUCUAGAUCCACUUAUUUAUUCAUGGCAUAUGUUUGCAAUGUUUUGUAAACUGCUGAGUUUGAAUGGUUUUAUUAGACUUGAUGUCUGCAUUAUGUUACCUUAUUUGACUGUUUUAUGAAUGAAUAAUACUGUUUGCCAUGGCUUCACAUUCACAGUUUUGGUGUUGCAGACCCCAUUAGAAUGUCAGCUUCUUACUUUCAAGUUUGAAAUUACCUUUUUAGCUACAGUAGGAUGGCUAUAUUGCAUUGGUUAUCAAAGGAUUUAUCAAGUCUAGGCGAUAUACACAUGAGAAAAAGCGGAGUUAGUUAGCUAUUUAUUUAUUAUCAGUUAAGAGUUAUUUCUAAGUAGGAAGUUAUGUAUUAGCUAUUUAUUAGCUGAAUAGGAGUUACCAUUUUUUCUAAUUAGGAAGUCUUUUGCAAGGUACUGUAUUUAUAGGAUUUUUUUGAGAAUAAAACACGAGAAUUAUUUUGAUAAAAAAAAGUUUGAGUUCCUUAAUGCUCAGAGAUCCAAAGGUUCUCUCUAAGGAGCCUUCGCUAUUCUGAUUUCACCCUACACCGCCCGUGGAGAUGUGGACACGAUGUCGGACCAGAAUUUUCAACAAAGGGCUAGUUGUCAAACGAUUUAUGUGCAUUGGUUAUCCAGGAAAUAUGCAUAUCACUUAAAAGUACCGAGUAAAUGAACCUUGUUUGGUUGAAGCAAUACAUCUUUAGUUGCUUUAUAAUGGAUAUAUGGUGCUCAGAAUUGGAUGAUGUAUUGGUUUGGAUAAUUGUUAGCUUUGCCUGGUUGAGCUUAUAAUUGUCCAACAGGUUGCUUUCAGUUGAUUAAAAUUGUCCAAAUAAGGUGAUCUAAAGGUGAAAUGUUGAAUCGUUAAACUCUUUAGUCUUUAUGUGUUUACACUUGUAUACUUUUGUUAUGAAUAGACAAUACUAUCUUCUGUGCUUGUCACUUUUUCUUCUUUUAUAUGCACUGUAUUUAUCAAACUUAUUGAACACUCAUAAUGUGAACUUGUUAGGUGGCAAUGACUGGUGAUGGUGU
RNAcentral lists this unclassified non-coding RNA (1267 nucleotides) under Hevea brasiliensis (rubber tree). Lineage: Eukaryota; Viridiplantae; Streptophyta; Magnoliopsida; Malpighiales; Euphorbiaceae. The record is from RNAcentral.